RNAcentral lists this ribosomal RNA (110 nucleotides) under uncultured bacterium. Its description in RNAcentral is "partial 16S ribosomal RNA". It matches the Rfam family "Bacterial small subunit ribosomal RNA", at positions 1373 to 1482 of the family's 1533-position model. The record is from RNAcentral.
CCCGGGCCUUGUACACACCGCCCGUCACACCAUGGGAGUUGGUCUUACCCUAAAACGGUGCGCUAACCGCAAGGAGGCAGCCGGCCACGGUAAGGUCAGCGACUGGGGUG